RNAcentral lists this ribosomal RNA (501 nucleotides) under uncultured bacterium. RNAcentral describes it as "partial 16S ribosomal RNA". It matches the Rfam family "Bacterial small subunit ribosomal RNA", at positions 30 to 523 of the family's 1533-position model. The record is from RNAcentral.
AUUGAACGCUGGCGGCAGGCUUAACACAUGCAAGUCGAGCGGGGGAAGGUAGCUUGCUACUGGACCUAGCGGCGGACGGGUGAGUAAUGCUUAGGAAUCUGCCUAUUAGAGGGGGACAACAUCUCGAAAGGGAUGCUAAUACCGCAUACGUCCUACGGGAGAAAGCAGGGGAUCUUCGGACCUUGCGCUAAUAGAUGAGCCUAAGUCGGAUUAGCUAGUUGGUGGGGUAAAGGCCUACCAAGGCGACGAUCUGUAGCGGGUCUGAGAGGAUGAUCCGCCACACGGGGACUGAGACACGGCCCAGACUCCUACGGGAGGCAGCAGUGGGGAAUAUUGGACAAUGGGGGGAACCCUGAUCCAGCCAUGCCGCGUGUGUGAAGAAGGCCUUAUGGUUGUAAAGCACUUUAAGCGAGGAGGAGGCUACUUUAGUUAAUACCUAGAGAUAGUGGACGUUACUCGCAGAAUAAGCACCGGCUAACUCUGUGCCAGCAGCCGCCGUAA